RNAcentral lists this long non-coding RNA (453 nucleotides) under Bos taurus (domestic cattle). RNAcentral describes it as "long non-coding RNA NONBTAT021998". The record is from RNAcentral. Lineage: Eukaryota; Metazoa; Chordata; Mammalia; Artiodactyla; Bovidae.
GAUGAACGUGUCCGUCUGCUCAGAGAAAGGACAAAAAUUCUUUGAAAAUCUAGUCUCCAGAGUUAAGGUGUGUAUGACUCUGCAUGUGUGUUUUUGUGUCUCAGUGUAGUUAAGAGAUGUUCAUUCCGUAUUGUGGCUGUGAGAUGAUUUUAUUUCAUUUCUGUCCCCACCACUGUUGUCAUUCCAUAUUGAUUGUCAUUCCAACCUGGAGAAGACUUGAGCCCUCUGGUUGGCACUCUUGUUUGUUACCUCAUUCAUUCUCCAGUGAAUUCCACCUGACCAGCUGAUUCAGAAUCAGGCACGCUUCCCACCCUUUGGCACAUCCAGUAAAAGGCCAAACAGCAAGUCUGAGUUCUAAAUUUUAAUUAAUCACUCCCUUUUUUUUUUUUUUUUUUUUUUACACUUGAGAGUGGUUGUAAUAAAGGCUGUCAUUAAUAAACUUGGUUCUACCUU